CAGCAGCCGCGGUAAAACGUAGGUGGCAAGCGUUGUCCGGAAUUAUUGGGCGUAAAGCGCGCGCAGGUGGUUUAAUAAGUCUGAUGUGAAAGCCCACGGCUCAACCGUGGAGGGUCAUUGGAAACUGUUAAACUUGAGUGCAGGAGAGAAAAGUGGAAUUCCUAGUGUAGCGGUGAAAUGCGUAGAGAUUAGGAGGAACACCAGUGGCGAAGGCGGCUUUUUGGCCUGUAACUGACACUGAGGCGCGGAAGCGUGGGGAGCAAACAGGAUUAGAUACCCCGGUAGUCCCUGUCUCUUAUAC
RNAcentral lists this ribosomal RNA (301 nucleotides) under uncultured bacterium. RNAcentral describes it as "partial 16S ribosomal RNA". It matches the Rfam family "Bacterial small subunit ribosomal RNA", at positions 509 to 807 of the family's 1533-position model. The record is from RNAcentral.